GACGAACGCUGGCGGCGCGCCUAACACAUGCAAGUCGAACGAGCGAGAGAGAGCUUGCUUUCUCGAGCGAGUGGCGCACGGGUGAGUAACGCGUGAGGAACCUGCCUCUAAGAGGGGGACAACAGUUGGAAACGACUGCUAAUACCGCAUAAGCUCUCGGUGCCGCAUGGCACAGAGGGAAAAGGAGCAAUCCGCUUUGAGAUGUCCUCGCGUCCGAUUAGCUUGUUGGUGAGGUAAUGGCCCACCAUGGCGACGAUCGGUAGCCGGACAGAGAGGUUGAGCGGACACAUUGGGACUGGGACGCGGCCCAGACUCCUACGGGAGGCGGGAGUGGGGGAUAGUGCACAGUGGGGUAAACCCUGAUGCAGCGACGACGCGUGAAGGAAGAAGGUCUGCGGAAUGUAAACUCCUGUUGUUUAGGAAGAUAAUGACGGUACCCAAUAAGAAAGUGACGGCUAACUACGUA
This 466-nucleotide ribosomal RNA is filed under the name uncultured bacterium. RNAcentral's name for it is "partial 16S ribosomal RNA". It matches the Rfam family "Bacterial small subunit ribosomal RNA", at positions 28 to 507 of the family's 1533-position model. The record is from RNAcentral.